AGGAGAACAACCACAUUGGCGGCGGUCAGCCCUGGUGGUGGAUUCAGCCCCCGCAGUAACUCCGGAGCUCUCCGUCUGCAGGGCCUGGAGGCUCCGGGCGGGG
RNAcentral lists this microRNA precursor (103 nucleotides) under Canis lupus familiaris (dog). Its description in RNAcentral is "mir-8834 microRNA precursor family". It matches the Rfam family "mir-8834 microRNA precursor family". Lineage: Eukaryota; Metazoa; Chordata; Mammalia; Carnivora; Canidae. The record is from Rfam by way of RNAcentral. RNAcentral also lists the same sequence under 1 other name.